UACGGGGGGGGCAAGCGUUGUUCGGAAUUACUGGGCGUAAAGGGUGCGUAGGCGGCUCGUUAAGUUGGAUGUGAAAACUCUGGGCUCAACCCAGAGCCUGCAUCCAAAACUGGCGGGCUAGAGUUCUGGAGGGGGUAGCGGAAUUCCUGGUGUAGCGGUGAAAUGCGUAGAUAUCAGGAGGAACACCGGUGGCGAAGGCGGCGACCUGGACAGAAACUGACGCUGAGGCACGAAAGCUAGGGGAGCAAACAGG
RNAcentral lists this ribosomal RNA (253 nucleotides) under uncultured bacterium. RNAcentral's name for it is "partial 16S ribosomal RNA". It matches the Rfam family "Bacterial small subunit ribosomal RNA", at positions 524 to 776 of the family's 1533-position model. The record is from RNAcentral.